RNAcentral lists this ribosomal RNA (374 nucleotides) under uncultured eukaryote. RNAcentral's name for it is "partial 18S ribosomal RNA". It matches the Rfam family "Eukaryotic small subunit ribosomal RNA", at positions 592 to 976 of the family's 1831-position model. The record is from RNAcentral.
CAAGAGCGUAUGUAAAAGUUGUUGCAGUUAAAAAGCUCGUAGUCGAACCUUGGGUUUGGUUGGCCGGUCCGCUUUUUUGCGAGUACUGGAUUCAACCGAGCCUUUCCUUCUGGCUAACCAGUCGUUUCGGCGGCUGGCGAACCAGGAUUUUUACUUUGAGAAAAUUAGAGUGUUCAAAGCAGGCAUUAGCUUGAAUAUAUUAGCAUGGAAUAAUAGAAUAGGACGUUAUGGUUCUAUUUUGUUGGUUUCUAGGACCAUCGUAAUGAUUAAUAGGGACGGUCGGGGGCAUCAGUAUUCAGUUGUCAGAGGUGAAAUUCUUGGAUUUACUGAAGACUAACUACUGCGAAAGCAUUUGCCAAGGACGUUUUCAUUAA